UGGUGGGUAGUUUGACUGGGGCGGUCUCCUCCUAAAGAGUAACGGAGGAGCACGAAGGUUGGCUAAUCCUGGUCGGACAUCAGGAGGUUAGUGCAAUGGCAUAAGCCAGCUUGACUGCGAGCGUGACGGCGCGAGCAGGUGCGAAAGCAGGUCAUAGUGAUCCGGUGGUUCUGAAUGGAAGGGCCAUCGCUCAACGGAUAAAAGGUACUCCGGGGAUAACAGGCUGAUACCGCCCAAGAGUUCAUAUCGACGGCGGUGUUUGGCACCUCGAUGUCGGCUCAUCACAUCCUGGGGCUGAAGUAGGUCCCAAGGGUAUGGCUGUUCGCCAUUUAAAGUGGUACGCGAGCUGGGUUUAGAACGUCGUGAGACAGUUCGGUCCCUAUCUGCCGUGGGCGCUGGAGAACUGAGGGGGGCUGCUCCUAGUACGAGAGGACCGGAGUGGACGCAUCACUGGUGUUCGGGUUGUCAUGCCAAUGGCACUGCCCGGUAGCUAAAUGCGGAAGAGAUAAGUGCUGAAAGCAUCUAAGCACGAAACUUGCCCCGAGAUGAGUUCUCCCUGAGACUUUAAGUCUCCUGAAGGAACGUUAAAGACGAUGACGUUGAUAGGCCGGGUGUGUAAGCGCAGCGAUGCGUUGAGCUAACCGGUACUAAUGAACCGUGAGGUUUAACCUUACAACGCCGAAGCUGUU
This 689-nucleotide ribosomal RNA is filed under the name Salmonella enterica subsp. salamae. RNAcentral's name for it is "partial 23S ribosomal RNA". It matches the Rfam family "Bacterial large subunit ribosomal RNA", at positions 2259 to 2925 of the family's 2925-position model. Lineage: Bacteria; Pseudomonadati; Pseudomonadota; Gammaproteobacteria; Enterobacterales; Enterobacteriaceae. The record is from RNAcentral.